GACGAACGCUGGCGGCGUGCUUAACACAUGCAAGUCGAACGAAGUGGCGCACGGGUGAGUAACGCGUAAUCCACCUGCCCUUCAGAGGGGGACAACAGUUGGAAACGACUGCUAAUACCUCAUACUUAAGGUGGGGAUUGCGUUUGAUUAGCUAGUUGGAGGGGUAACGGCCCACCAAGGCGAUGAUCAGUAGCCGGUUUGAGAGGAAGAACGGCCACAAUGGGACUGAGACACGGCCCAGACCCCUACGGGAGGCAGCAGUGGGGAAACAUCCGAAAUGGGCGAAAGUCUGACGGAGCAACGCCGCGUGAGUGAUGACGGCCUUCGGGUUGUAAAGCUCUGUUAAUCGGGACGCGGUACCGGAAGAGAAAGCCACGGCUAACUACGUGCCAGCCGCCGCGGUAAUAC
RNAcentral lists this ribosomal RNA (408 nucleotides) under uncultured bacterium. RNAcentral describes it as "partial 16S ribosomal RNA". It matches the Rfam family "Bacterial small subunit ribosomal RNA", at positions 28 to 526 of the family's 1533-position model. The record is from RNAcentral.